CAGCCAGGCCUCCGUCAGGACUGGUCGAUGAGGCGGCGGACAUCAGGGAGACUGUAUUCCUAUAUAUGUGUAACAAACCCCUUGCAAGUUAUGUACACGCUUGUGUUGCGUGUGUAAGGUCUGACCAACAUGGACAACGAAGGUAGAAAACAAUUAAUAUUCAGCUCACUAACUAAAACCUGGAGAGGAGUCUCAGGAAAGCAAACACUAAAGACAACAACACUAAAGACAAUUGCAGAAAGGAAUUGAAUAACAACUGUAAAAGUGAAUAUUCCUGCAUUUUUUUCCCAAGGAAUCUAGCAUGUCUCUACUGAUGACUGCAGCGAAUGUGUGGCAUUUCUCACUGCAGAGAGCUCUUCUUGACUUGCACAGCUCUCUCUACAGUCCACAUACUGCAAAUGGAUUCUUCCCUCCCAGCGCUCACUGAAGUGGACCUUCCCGAAGAGGCCCAGUGUCUAUGAUCAGAUGACGAAAAUGUGUACAGCUCCAUUUGGCAGCCUUGAGCUUUCAGCCUCUUCAUCUUGAACUCCCAAAUUCAAAACAUAAUUCUCAUCCCCCCACCCCUACAGUGUUAGCACAUCAGCAAGUAACUUAUUCCUAACUUCAUCCCCCUCGCCUCUUGCUACUAUAAAUCUCUGUCUUUCUAAAGCACUAGGCAUUUUAGAAAUACUUCCUGCAACCCCUGUGUACCAAGCAAAAUCAUAGAGGCUACCAGUACCAUGUUCAAAGCCGUGGUCACAUUUGCCAAAAUAUUUCAGAGUAGAGCAGGACACUGAAAUAAGUAUCUUUUUAAAAAAGGUUUUAGUUUAUUACUUUCAUGGAUAAGCAGUUUUAGCAUUUACUUCCACACCUUCCAUGAGGCAGCUGGUCUCUUUACUGAGGACAAGAGUCCUGGAGCUUCUGGUGCCAAGCUACAAGAACCUCUUUGUUCUCCUCUGUCCAUGACACCAAAGGGCCAUGAUUGGCUCCAGCCAGCUCGCAUUGAUAGUCUAUCAAAAAUAUCAGAAGACAAAUUAUCCUCAACUGACCUGCAGAUGUGGAUAGGAGACUCCCUACAACAAUAAAGAUAAAUAUCUCAUCUGUCAUUUAAGGGGAAAUGGCAUAUGGUUCUUCAAGUCUGAUGAUUCAGACAUAAUAAUUUCCCAGCGAUUAGGAAGACAGAGGCAAAUAAAUUGGGGGCAAAGGGGAAAGGAAGAAAAUUGAAAGCAGAUAAACUCUCUAUUACCUUCCAUUUUAACCCCAAAUCUGUCUUGAUCCAUGUCUAAGAAAAGUAAAGGAACCAAUCACUGUUUGUUACUAGCAAGGCAGCACAGGAUUGGCAAGUGUGUCUGCACACAUGUACACUCCAUUUUAAGCAAAGGUGGCAAGAAGCCAUUAAAGUGUCAGUUUGUUCUGUAUUUCACUUUAUUCUUCUGGCUUAGGUCAGGUACAUCCUUAAUGCACAGUGGGACAAACCACGGAGUAGCCAUGGAUCUCCUGGAAUGCUGGAGUGGGCUGGCUCAGGCACACUGGCUGCCUGCACCUGCAUACUUGCUCUGUCAUAAAGUGUGGGACUGGGAUUCGGCAUGGAAGGGAGCAUAGGCCUCCCCACACAGUUGUUGUCCAGGAUUUCCUUAUCAUUUUCCAGCCCAGAAAGCAUUGAAUUUUGUUGUUUGGGUUUUUUUUUUCUUUGACCUACACCCAUCUUCAGUCAACAGCAAGCUCAUCCAGUCUGUAUUGUGACAGGGAAGGUGAGCUGCCUCGGCUUUCACAGUCCCAGCUGUGUGGGGUUAUAUAGAACAAGCUCCAAAUAUGAGGUUUCACUAUUUAAAAAUCAUAAAAAUUGGGUGGUAGCUAUUCCUCUGAUAGAGGUAGCUGCAGUAAGUUUGUGGGGAGUAACUGCAGGACUCUGUAGUUACUCACUUCAUUAAGUCUUAAUUGUAACGAUUGCAAGGUGCAACCCCAGCACCAUAAUCAGAUCCCGAGGUGACAGAGGCACGGAUAAUCGUAAUGAGCCUUCCUCUGAAAUGAAAGGCCUGCAGUUUUCUCCCCAGAUGCUAAUGGCACAAAGCAGAGUCAGAAAAUGCUGUCAGCAGGAACCAGGAGAAGCUGGGGAUUCAAGGAGACCCCUGGGCUUCAGAGUUUGCAAACAAAUAGUAGGCAGAUGCCAUUAACCAGGGUUGCUGAUGGAAAUUCUGUUUCCUCUUUCUAUUUCUAGCUUGCUGUCAGAAGCAUCCCAAGUAAACCUGGCCUCAUCAGUAUUUUCCUUUCCAUAAAACUCUGGCAAAAUCUACUUCUGUACAGGCAAGAUCAGAAAGAAAGAAAUGGAAGACAGUGAUUGAUCAAUGUGCAGAGAGCAGUGCUGCUCCCUCCUUCCAUGUGCCAGCCCAGGCUCCAUCCACACUGACCCCACCAGCACUGGGUGGUGAGUACUUUCUUGACCCACUGGCCUUUCAUUCAUGGGACCAAAAUGGAGGAUUAACUGUCAGGGCACACCUGCAGCUGAAUGAUGAGUCAGUCCCAAGGGGCUGCUGAGUCAGAACUGAAACAGCCACUGAAGUUGGAAAACGAGCAUUCUUGUACAACCCAGUGCUAAUGUCCAAGCAGGAAAUAGAAAUGAACUUUGGAAUAGAAGUCAACAAUUGCAAAUGAAUAAAGAUGGGAGCAAGGCUACCAGAAGCCCUUCAUUCUGGUGAUGUCAUGGUUCCCAAAUGCCCUUCAGAAAUGCAAAUUGCCUACAAUGUAAUAAAAAGGGCAUUUUCUAGAGUGUGCAGAGCUUGCAUAGUUUAAUUAAGCAUAAACUAGGGUGACUCUUGAAAGGAAAAUGAUGUGGAUUGCAUUCUCUGAGUGACCUUGGAAAAGCACUUAUAUACUUUCUCUACACAGCAAUUAAGUAAACUCACACUUCAUACACUGUCACUUCUAUUCCUUUCCUUUAUUUAGAAAGAUAUUUUUUGUUCUCUCUGAUUCCCUGAUCUCGCAUUGAUUUAUCUCUGUGCUUAGAAAAUGUGAUUUGUUUCCCUCAAGGUAACUAAACAUUUAUCUACAGCCUCACCACCUCUGGUUUUCUAAUCUCUACUUCAAUAUUACUUAUAUUAAACUUCUGGUGCCUGCUUUCCUUGCUUUCCACCAAAUUCCACCUAGGCUACCUCACUGACAUAGCAAAACUGGAAAAAGGAGAUGCCUAUAGAAAUUUCUCAUCCAAUCUUCCCAAAACCAAACUAGCAGCCUUCUGUGAUGGAGUGAUUGCAUCGAUGGGCAAGGGAAGGGCUACAGAUGUCAUCUGUCUGGACUUCUGUAAAGCCUUUGACGUGGUCCCCCACACCAUCCUUCUCUAAAUUAGAGAGAGAUGGAUUCGAUGAGUGGAUUUUUUGGUGGAUGAGGAAUUGGUUCGAUGAUCGCAUCCAGAGGUAGUGGUCAAUGACUCAACGUCUGGAUGAAGAUCAGUGACAAAUGGUGUCCCCCAGGAAUCUAUAUUGGGACCAGUGUUAUUUAAUAUCUUCACCAAUGACAUAGACAAAGCCAUCGACUGCACCCUCAGCAAAUUUGCUGAUGACAUGAAGGUGAGUUGUGCACUUGACACACCUGAAGGAUGGGAUGUCAUCUGUAGGGACCUGAACAAGCUCAAGAAGUGGGCCCAUGGCAAUCCCAUGGGGUUUCAAGACCAAGUGCAAGGUGCUGCAUCUGGGUCAUGGCAACCCCCAGAAUCAGUACAGGCUGUGGGAUGAAGAGAUUGAGAGCAGUCUUGCAGCGAAAGACUUGGGGACACCGGAGGAUAAAAAGCUGGACACGAGCCAACAGUGUGUGCUUGCAACCCAAUUGUAUUCUUGGCUGCGUCAAAAGAAAUGUGACCAGCAGGUUGGGGAAGCUGAUACUCUGCUCUGGUGAGACCCCAUCAGCUCUGUGGUCCCCAGCACAGGAAGGACACUGACCUGUUGGAGUGAGUCCAAAGGAGGGCCACAAAAAUGAUCAAAGGGCUAGAGCACCUUUCCUAUGAAGACAGUGAGAGAGUUGGGGUUGUUCAGUCUGGAGAAGAGAAGGCUCCAGGGAGACCUCAUUGUGUCCUUUCAGUACUUCGAGGGGGCCUAUAAGAAAGAUGGGGACAUCUUAGUAGGGCCUGUAGCAACAGGACAAGGGGUAAUGGUCUUAAACUAAAGGAGGUUAAAUUCAAAGUAGAUGGAAGAAAUUUUUUAAGAGAAGGGUGGUGAAACACCAGACCAGGUUGCCCAGAGAGGUGGUGGAUGUCCCAUCCCUGGAAACAUUCAAGGUCAGGUUGAACAGGGCUCUGAGCAACUUGACGUAGUUGAAGACGUCCCUUCUCAUGGUAGGGGUGUUGGACACCUCGUCACACAGCUAGGGCAAGAAUGGUAAUGGCUUAUGCACAAAUUAGUACUGGGAGACAGAUUAGGGUUUUGCAGCUGUCAUUUGAAAUGCUUUCACAGUAUCAGUUUCUCAUUUUGUGGAGGAUUUAAUAUCAUGUAGCCGGCUGGUUUUUGUCAGAUUUUGAAGAUCAGUUUUGAAGCCCAUUAGAUCAUCAAAGCUGCAGUUUCUCAAAAAGGAAGCUGACUGUAUGGAGAGAAAGAGUUGUUAAGAGGCUGAUUCCAGGUACUAGGAAGAAAAAACAAAAAACCCCAACCACUGUUAGCAGCUUAACUCCCUUUCUUCUGGGUUAGGGUAUGAAAAAGAAGUCUCAGUAAUUCCUGGCUGUGAGUAUUGCUGCCAGGAAGGAUGGUGAUAUCAGCUCAUCUCUGUAGGCCAGCAGUGAAUGGGACUUAAGAGGGGGCAAGCAGAAUUCUUAGAGCUGUUUCUUACACAUAUGCCUUUAGCCUGACCUUUCAAAUAGAUCCUGCUCUCUCGUCCCCUUGAAAAUUUGCAGAGGAAUGACCAUCCCCACAUUGCCCUUUGGGAAUGCUUUUCUCUUGGUAUCUUGCUGUGACUUUCAAGGAGUAAUAGAAACUUUCCAAGGAAGAUUUGAAGAAUGUGGUAACGGGUGGAAAAAAAUUGGUCACUUAGCAAGGGCAAAGAAACCAGGGGAUGGUAGAUGAGGAAAUGGUGCUGAUUUGCAACUGAUGUUUGAGCUAUGACGGAGUUUCAGUGAACCACACCACAAGGGCUGCUGACCCAUAAAAAGGUGAAAUACACGAAAGGAAAGCAGUGAUCCCAGCAACUGCAUCCCAUUAUGGUAUGUCAGACAUGUCUUUGAUUGCACAAACCUAUAAUUAGUUAUAGAGAAUUGCUGAAGAACUAGGAGGAAACCAAAGAAUUAUUCCCUGCACUAGUGACUAGCAGGAUCAGUAGAUAACACUUAAGUAUUGCUUUAAAUAAAAUGUAUUCACAUUUGAUAGAUUUAUUUUUUUCAAUUUUAGAGUAAAUGUCAAUGAUUCAGUAAAAAUUUAACAAAUCUUAAGAGACCCCAGAGCAAAGAUCAGAAAGUCUCAGGAUUAAUUUUAGGACUUGGUUUCUAUUCAUUCAGCAUGUAAGAAACCCACUUAAGUAUCUUAAAAAUUUUUAAAAGUUAUUUUGAAAAUUAAGAUCUCGGUUUUGUGGUAAGAAAGAAAGGAACCGAGCUUAUUAUGAACCCAGAAUCUCAGCAAUAGCCGCAUUACAUAUUUGCUAACACUAGAUGGGGUGUAAGGAAAGAGUGAAGGGGAAAGUUGGUGAACAGCAAAACCUUUGAGGUCUGAACUACUUCAGGCAGAGAAGCAGAAGCUUGCACCUUGUCCAUUCCUCUGGCAGUGUGGAUCUUCACAACGUGGAUAUUUUAACACGCAUGACACGCCACAAUUAGUCUCAUUAACUACAUUUUAUUCAUAUACUGAAAGAGUACAUACAUGUGUCAGCAGCAUAGAUUGCACCAGCUCCUCUUUACUAAAAAAAGCUCAAUGUAUAUACAGCCUUAAAAUGCUCCCGCUGUAGCUAGCACAUAUUAAAUUGAUGCUUAUAUAAACUACUGUUCUUUACAUAGAUUUAUGUAUUUUAGAAUAUAUUAAAAAUUGUCAGUUGGCAUGUUCUGUUUUCUUUUCUCACUGUCUUGAUGGUCUAACAGUUGAAUUAUGGAUAUGAAUAUUUUAUUUACUAUUCAAAACAAUUUCUAUUACAGAAUAUAGGUCAUAGAGACAAUCCUGCUGUUGCAUUUGGAAAGGCAGAAAGUAUUUUUGAUGAUUAGUGAUUUCUGUUGUUAUGGCUGCAUCCUGCAGCUUUUCCUUGGGAGCAGGAAGAGCAGACCAAGGCUCUUUUUGAGAUCCUGCCUUUGUUUAGUCCUGUGAAAAGUACUGUAACCUUUUCUUUAUCAACUGGUGCUUUUUGUCCUCCCUCUUAGCUUCUUUGACCUCCUGUGCAUGAACUCAGCAGAGCAGGCAGGCCAGUGUCUGACUCCAGGCUCUUCCUUGGGCUGUGAGGGAUGCUGAGCUGGGCUUUCUGACCAACCAACAGAGCUACUCAGCAGAAGCGGCAGCCUGCCAGCAGAAUUUAUUUCCCUCACUCUCUUCUCCUGGUCCCGUGUGAAUGAGCUAGACUCCUGUGGAUCACUUUAUCCUCUUUAUUAAGCCAGUCUCUGCAGAGACCAUUUUAAUUUAAUUCAACUUGAUAGCCAAGUCUCAAAAUCCCCUUGGCUCUUGAAAGAGUACAAUCUACUGGUGUUCAAUACACAAGCCCUUUUCCACCAUCCUCUUGCUACCCUUCAAGUUAAAAAUGCCAGGAUCCAAUUUCUCUAAACCAGCCUUCCACUCUAAUGCCCUUUGCUGAGUGACUGGUACUCAUAGUGAGCCCUAAAAGCAAAUGCUGGUGCACUGAGAAAUGCCCUCCUUGUCAGAAUAUCUAACUCCAUUUAAACUUGCAUGCUCAAUAGAAAAGCAACAUGAAAUGCUUUCCCACAACACAGGUUAAAUAAACACUGCUUGCCAGCCAUAUCCAGUUUAAAAUGUAAACUGGUAACAUGGUAAGAAGUUGCAUUCCCUGGCAGGGAAUCUCUUUGUUUUGUUUCUUAAUCCUAGGAGAAGUAUUGCUAAAACAUACUGCAAAUGGUUUGUUUGCAUCUACUGGUCUGAUUGAACCACAGGGACUGACACUGCAUUGGGAUUUGGAGGGCAGCGCUCAAUACUUCAGAGGGCUGGAUGGGCUAGGAUGCCAGUGUAGUUAAAAACAAAACCAGGUUGAGCACCUCUGUAGGAAAAAAAAAUAGCAGGUAAUUUAAGAACAGUGUGAGUUAUGUCUCUGACAGGCCACUAAUAACUUUAUUUCAUAGCAGAGAGGCAAAAGUUGGGGAGGACUGUAAUAUGCCAGGUCACUUGUAGGUUAUGACUCCUCACAGGAGCACUUAUACAUAAUCCCCUUCUGCAGCAUACUUCAUGCCUUGGAUAUCAGAAAGCCUAUGAGAACAUCUCUAUUUGUGAUAAUAGGCCAUAUUUCACAUGUCCAGGGGGAAAAUGUGAAGCUCAUUCAGCAGAGGGACAGUGAAAUAGUCCUGAGUAUGAAGGAAUAAAAGACAGUUUCUUUUGCUCUACCUGCUUUAUGCAAAGCCUCCCUAUAAUCCAAGGCAGCAGUGCAGCAGCAAGACACAAUGAAACAACCCAGAAUGCUAAGUGUUAUGAAAACUUCAAGAAACAUAUUUGUAAUUGAACGAACAAGAGCUCCAAUACACAAUUUUGUUGGACCAGGAUGGUGAAGGGCCUUUCCAGGACAACAGCCCCUUCUGUUAUCUUGAGAGAGACUCUGUGUGCCAGGACUGCCCUACUUAGGAUGACUGAAUGCCUUGGUCUGCAACCACCCAAACAACUAAAGAAGCACAGUCUGUCCACAUCCUCCUGUUUAACCUUCAAUGAAU
Molecule: long non-coding RNA, 7801 nt
Organism: Pseudopipra pipra
Lineage: Eukaryota; Metazoa; Chordata; Aves; Passeriformes; Pipridae
Exons: 2
Source: RefSeq, a predicted model, not a curated record